Molecule: long non-coding RNA, 1318 nt
Organism: Ochotona princeps (American pika)
Lineage: Eukaryota; Metazoa; Chordata; Mammalia; Lagomorpha; Ochotonidae
Exons: 3
Source: RefSeq, a predicted model, not a curated record
CAGUUCUCUUCGGAGCUUCAGGAGCUGCGGCUCCGGUGGCGAGAGGCGGGAUUCAGAAGACCCUGGCCCUGUGGUGUCCCAGUGAGGGUGGUGGUUGUAAAGGCACACAAGCCCCUUCAGAAGGCUCAGGGUGCAAGAGGAGCCCCUUUGCCCAGUUUUCCUCGGAGGUGUAGGGGAUACCAAGCACCCAGCCAGAUCCCCCAAGUGGCCGGACCCAGUCUUUGAAAACCUGAGCCCGGUCCGAGACAGGUGAGAACUGUGAGUGCUACGAACACUAGGUGAUUUCCCCCAGGUGCCCAGUGUGUAAGUAGCGCCCAGUCCAACACCUUGUCAAGUUGUACUGGGGCUGAAGGUGAGGAAUCAGGUGUUCUCUCUCCUUGGGAGUUACUAGCUGGUUUGUGUCUCUGUCAGCUGGUUCAGUUGCUGCAGGCCGUGUGGUUGCCUUCUUGGUAUGGGUCCAGGGGAUGGGGUGACGGCCUCAAGGCCUGGACCCGUGCUGCCUGCACAGAGCUGGAAGGAGGCCUAGUCCUGUGACUUUGCCUGUUAGCCUGGCCUUUAGUGAGCAACUGGGGCAGGGCGGGUUUUUGAGUUAACCAGUGCAUAUGGAAAUCUCAAAAUAAACCUCUUGCCUUCUAGACCAUGAGUUCUUGCUUCCUCUUGCCUCUCUUGGACUUUCCCCAGAGAAAGCAGAAGUGUGAGAAGGGACUGUGACAGCUGCGGGGUACCACCAGGUUCAGGGGCUGGGACACGGGGAGUCAGGCGUGAAGACCUCAUCUCACCUUCCCAGUGUGAAUUGCUUCCCCAGGGCUCAGUGUCUGGGGAGAAAACACUUUGCUGCAGACGUGAGCACCUGAAGGCCAUCUUCCUGGUGAACCCAAGAGUGUAAUCUGGAAAUGCAUUACUGCUUUUUUGACUACCAAUACAUCAUGCAGACAACGUGCACAUAUUUAAAAAUCUGAAAAAUUCUAAAACCUGAAAUGCUUCCAGUACCCAGUGUUUUGAACAAAUCUACUCAAUCUUUAGUGAGCUUUCCCCGUUCUGACUGGGAGUUUUAACCUGCCUACUCUGGGCAUUUGUGUGCGCUAACCUGGAGUUUUAAAAAAAAUAUUUACUUAUUUGAAAGGAAGAGUUAGAGAGAGAGAGAGAGAGAGGCAGGCAGAGGUGGAGAGAGGAUCUUUCAUAUGCUGGUUUACUCUCCCAAAUGACUGCAUGGCCAGGACUGGGUUAGGCUGAAGCCAGGAGCCAUGUGGAUCCAGGGGCCCAGGUGCUUGGGCUAGUCUCUGUUUCCAAGGUGCAUUAGCAUGGAGCUGGCUCUGAA